UCGAGCGCGCCUUCGGGCGAGCGGCGGACGGGUUUAGUAACGCGUGGGAACGUGCCCAGAUCUACGGAAUAGCCACUGGAAACGGUGAGUAAUACCGUAUACGCCCUUCGGGGGAAAGAUUUAUCGGAUUUGGAUCGGCCCGCGUUAGAUUAGGUAGUUGGUGGGGUAACGGCCUACCAAGCCUACGAUCUAUAGCUGGUUUUAGAGGAUGAUCAGCAACACUGGGACUGAGACACGGCCCAGACUCCUACGGGAGGCAGCAGUGGGGAAUCUUGGACAAUGGGGGCAACCCUGAUCCAGCCAUGCCGCGUGAGUGAAGAAGGCCCUAGGGUCGUAAAACUCUUUCGCCUGUGAUGAUAAUGACAGUAGCAGGUAAAGAAACCCCGGCUAACUCCGUGCCAGCAGCCGCGGUAAUACGGAGGGGGUUAGCGUUGUUCGGAAUUACUGGGCGUAAAGCGCACGUAGGCGGAUUAGAAAGUUAGAGGUGAAAUCCCGGGGCUCAACCCCGGAACUGCCUUUAAAACUACUAGUCUAGAGUUCGAGAGAGGUGAGUGGAAUUCCGAGUGUAGAGGUGAAAUUCGUAGAUAUUCGGAGGAACACCAGUGGCGAAGGCGGCUCACUGGCUCGAUACUGACGCUGAGGUGCGAAAGUGUGGGGAGCAAACAGGAUUAGAUACCCUGGUAGUCCACGCCGUAAACGAUGAGAACUAGCCGUCGGGGUCCUAGAGACCUUGGUGGCGCAGCUAACGCGAUAAGUUCUCCGC
This 763-nucleotide ribosomal RNA is filed under the name uncultured bacterium. Its description in RNAcentral is "bacterial SSU rRNA". It matches the Rfam family "Bacterial small subunit ribosomal RNA", at positions 62 to 872 of the family's 1533-position model. The record is from RNAcentral.